This 418-nucleotide unclassified non-coding RNA is filed under the name soil metagenome. RNAcentral describes it as "partial contains 5.8S ribosomal RNA, internal transcribed spacer 2, and large subunit ribosomal RNA". The stretch from base 1 to 120 matches the Rfam family "5.8S ribosomal RNA", at positions 35 to 154 of the family's 154-position model. The record is from RNAcentral.
GAUGAAGAACGUAGCGAAAUGAGAUAAGUAAUGUGAAUUGCAGAAUUCAGUGAAUCAUCGAAUCUUUGAACGCAUCUUGCGCUCCUUGGUAUUCCUUGGAGCAUGCCUGUUUGAGUAUCAUGAGCAAACCUCAAAGUCAAUUCCUUUUGUUAAUUCAAUUGGUUUUGCUUUGGACUUGGAGGUCUUGCAGAUUUCACAGUCUGCUCCUCUUAAAUGCAUUAGCUGGAUCUCAGUAAUUAUGCUUGGUUCCACUCGGCGUGAUAAGUAUCACUCGCUGAGGACACUGUUAAAAAGGUGGCCAGGAAAAUACUGAUUGAACCGCUUCUAACGGUCUAUUAAGUUAGACAAUUACCCUUAAGUUUGAUCUCAAAUCAGGAAGGACUACCCGCUGAACUUAAGCAUAUCAAUAAGCGGAGGA